RNAcentral lists this ribosomal RNA (427 nucleotides) under uncultured bacterium. RNAcentral's name for it is "partial 16S ribosomal RNA". It matches the Rfam family "Bacterial small subunit ribosomal RNA", at positions 354 to 796 of the family's 1533-position model. The record is from RNAcentral.
GUGGGGAAUAUUGGGCAAUGGGGGAAACCCUGACCCAGCGACGCCGCGUGAGGGAAGACGGCCUUCGGGUUGUAAACCUCUUUUGUACGGGAAGAAGGAAGUGACGGUACUGUACGAAUAAGUCCCGGCUAACUACGUGCCAGCAGCCGCGGUAAUACGUAGGGGACGAGCGUUGUCCGGAAUUACUGGGCGUAAAGGGCGCGCAGGCUGUGCUGCAAGUCAGCUGUGAAAUGUCUGGGCUUAACCCGGGCAUGCGGUUGAGACUGCAGUGCUGGAGUGCUGUAGAGGCAAGUGGAAUUCCCAGUGUAGCGGUGAAAUGCGUAGAUAUUGGGAAGAACACCGGUGGCGAAGGCGACUUGCUGGCCAGCAACUGACGCUGAGGCGCGAAAGCCAGGGGAGCAAACGGGAUUAGAUACCCCAGUAGUCC